AGUGGGGAAUCUUGGACAAUGGGGGCAACCCUGAUCCAGCCAUGCCGCGUGAGCGAUGAAGGCCUUAGGGUUGUAAAGCUCUUUCAGCGGGGAAGAUAAUGACGGUACCCGCAGAAGAAGCCCCGGCUAACUCCGUGCCAGCAGCCGCGGUAAUACGGAGGGGGCUAGCGUUGUUCGGAAUUACUGGGCGUAAAGCGCACGUAGGCGGAUCAGUUAGUCAGAGGUGAAAUCCCAGGGCUCAACCCUGGAACUGCCUUUGAUACUGCUGGUCUUGAGGUCGAGAGAGGUGAGUGGAAUUCCGAGUGUAGAGGUGAAAUUCGUAGAUAUUCGGAGGAACACCAGUGGCGAAGGCGGCUCACUGGCUCGAUACUGACGCUGAGGUGCGAAAGCGUGGGGAGCAAA
Molecule: ribosomal RNA, 402 nt
Filed under: uncultured Oceanicella sp.
Lineage: Bacteria; Pseudomonadati; Pseudomonadota; Alphaproteobacteria; Rhodobacterales; Paracoccaceae
Description: bacterial SSU rRNA
Rfam family: Bacterial small subunit ribosomal RNA
Source: RNAcentral